This 460-nucleotide ribosomal RNA is filed under the name uncultured bacterium. Its description in RNAcentral is "partial 16S ribosomal RNA". It matches the Rfam family "Bacterial small subunit ribosomal RNA", at positions 338 to 795 of the family's 1533-position model. The record is from RNAcentral.
CCUACGGGAGGCAGCAGUGAGGAAUAUUGGUCAAUGGACGCAAGUCUGAACCAGCCAUGCCGCGUGCAGGAAGACGGCUCUAUGAGUUGUAAACUGCUUUUGUACGAGGGUAAACGCAGAUACGCGUAUCUGUCUGAAAGUAUCGUACGAAUAAGGAUCGGCUAACCCCGUGCCAGCAGCCGCGGUAAUACGGAGGAUUCAAGCGUUAUCCGGAUUGAUUGGGGUUAAAGGGUGCGUAGGCGGUCGGAUAAGUUAGAGGUGAAAUCCCGGGGCUCAACUUCGGAAUUGCCUCUGAUACUGUUCGGCUAGAGAUUAGUUGCGGUAGGCGGAAUGUAUGGUGUAGCGGUGAAAUGCUUAGAGAUCAUACAGAACACCGAUUGCGAAGGCAGCUUACCAAGCUACUUCUGACGUUGAGGCGCGAAAGCGUGGGGAGCAAACAGGAUUAGAUACCCGGGUAGUC